UUAAGUUAUUAAGGGCGCACGGUGGAUGCCUUGGCACUAGAAGCCGAUGAAGGACGUUACUAACGACGAUAUGCUUUGGGGAGCUGUAAGUAAGCUUUGAUCCAGAGAUUUCCGAAUGGGGAAACCCAGCAUGAGUUAUGUCAUGUUAUCGAUAUGUGAAUACAUAGCAUAUCAGAAGGCACACCCGGAGAACUGAAACAUCUUAGUACCCGGAGGAAGAGAAAGAAAAUUCGAUUCCCUUAGUAGCGGCGAGCGAAACGGGAAGAGCCCAAACCAACAAGCUUGCUUGUUGGGGUUGUAGGACACUCUAUACGGAGUUACAAAGGACGACAUUAGACGAAUCAUCUGGAAAGAUGAAUCAAAGAAGGUAAUAAUCCUGUAGUCGAAAAUGUUGUCUCUCUUGAGUGGAUCCUGAGUACGACGGAGCACGUGAAAUUCCGUCGGAAUCUGGGAGGACCAUCUCCUAAGGCUAAAUACUCUCUAGUGACCGAUAGUGAACCAGUACCGUGAGGGAAAGGUGAAAAGCACCCCGGAAGGGGAGUGAAAUAGAACCUGAAACCGUGUGCUUACAAGUAGUCAGAGCCCGUUAAUGGGUGAUGGCGUGCCUUUUGUAGAAUGAACCGGCGAGUUACGAUUUGAUGCAAGGUUAAGCAGUAAAUGUGGAGCCGUAGCGAAAGCGAGUCUGAAUAGGGCGUUUAGUAUUUGGUCGUAGACCCGAAACCAGGUGAUCUACCCUUGGUCAGGUUGAAGUUCAGGUAACACUGAAUGGAGGACCGAACCGACUUACGUUGAAAAGUGAGCGGAUGAACUGAGGGUAGCGGAGAAAUUCCAAUCGAACCUGGAGAUAGCUGGUUCUCUCCGAAAUAGCUUUAGGGCUAGCCUCAAGUGAUGAUUAUUGGAGGUAGAGCACUGUUUGGACGAGGGGCCCCUCUCGGGUUACCGAAUUCAGACAAACUCCGAAUGCCAAUUAAUUUAACUUGGGAGUCAGAACAUGGGUGAUAAGGUCCGUGUUCGAAAGGGAAACAGCCCAGACCACCAGCUAAGGUCCCAAAAUAUAUGUUAAGUGGAAAAGGAUGUGGCGUUGCCCAGACAACUAGGAUGUUGGCUUAGAAGCAGCCAUCAUUUAAAGAGUGCGUAAUAGCUCACUAGUCGAGUGACACUGCGCCGAAAAUGUACCGGGGCUAAACAUAUUACCGAAGCUGUGGAUUGUCCUUUGGACAAUGGUAGGAGAGCGUUCUAAGGGCGUUGAAGCAUGAUCGUAAGGACAUGUGGAGCGCUUAGAAGUGAGAAUGCCGGUGUGAGUAGCGAAAGACGGGUGAGAAUCCCGUCCACCGAUUGACUAAGGUUUCCAGAGGAAGGCUCGUCCGCUCUGGGUUAGUCGGGUCCUAAGCUGAGGCCGACAGGCGUAGGCGAUGGAUAACAGGUUGAUAUUCCUGUACCACCUAUAAUCGUUUUAAUCGAUGGGGGGACGCAGUAGGAUAGGCGAAGCGUGCGAUUGGAUUGCACGUCUAAGCAGUAAGGCUGAGUAUUAGGCAAAUCCGGUACUCGUUAAGGCUGAGCUGUGAUGGGGAGAAGACAUNGUGUCUUCGAGUCGUUGAUUUCACACUGCCGAGAAAAGCCUCUAGAUAGAAAAUAGGUGCCCGUACCGCAAACCGACACAGGUAGUCAAGAUGAGAAUUCUAAGGUGAGCGAGCGAACUCUCGUUAAGGAACUCGGCAAAAUGACCCCGUAACUUCGGGAGAAGGGGUGCUCUUUAGGGUUAACGCCCAGAAGAGCCGCAGUGAAUAGGCCCAAGCGACUGUUUAUCAAAAACACAGGUCUCUGCUAAACCGUAAGGUGAUGUAUAGGGGCUGACGCCUGCCCGGUGCUGGAAGGUUAAGAGGAGUGGUUAGCUUCUGCGAAGCUACGAAUCGAAGCCCCAGUAAACGGCGGCCGUAACUAUAACGGUCCUAAGGUAGCGAAAUUCCUUGUCGGGUAAGUUCCGACCCGCACGAAAGGCGUAACGAUUUGGGCACUGUCUCAACGAGAGACUCGGUGAAAUCAUAGUACCUGUGAAGAUGCAGGUUACCCGCGACAGGACGGNNNAAGACCCCGUGGAGCUUUACUGUAGCCUGAUAUUGAAAUUCGGCACAGCUUGUACAGGAUAGGUAGGAGCCUUUGAAACGUGAGCGCUAGCUUACGUGGAGGCGCUGGUGGGAUACUACCCUAGCUGUGUUGGCUUUCUAACCCGCACCACUUAUCGUGGUGGGAGACAGUGUCAGGCGGGCAGUUUGACUGGGGCGGUCGCCUCCUAAAAGGUAACGGAGGCGCUCAAAGGUUCCCUCAGAAUGGUUGGAAAUCAUUCAUAGAGUGUAAAGGCAUAAGGGAGCUUGACUGCGAGACCUACAAGUCGAGCAGGGUCGAAAGACGGACUUAGUGAUCCGGUGGUUCCGCAUGGAAGGGCCAUCGCUCAACGGAUAAAAGCUACCCCGGGGAUAACAGGCUUAUCUCCCCCAAGAGUUCACAUCGACGGGGAGGUUUGGCACCUCGAUGUCGGCUCAUCGCAUCCUGGGGCUGUAGUCGGUCCCAAGGGUUGGGCUGUUCGCCCAUUAAAGCGGUACGCGAGCUGGGUUCAGAACGUCGUGAGACAGUUCGGUCCCUAUCCGUCGUGGGCGUAGGAAAUUUGAGAGGAGCUGUCCUUAGUACGAGAGGACCGGGAUGGACAUACCUCUGGUGUACCAGUUGUCGUGCCAACGGCAUAGCUGGGUAGCUAUGUGUGGACGGGAUAAGUGCUGAAAGCAUCUAAGCAUGAAGCCCCCCUCAAGAUGAGAUUUCCCAACUUCGGUUAUAAGAUCCCUCAAAGAUGAUGAGGUUAAUAGGUUCGAGGUGGAAGCAUGGUGACAUGUGGAGCUGACGAAUACUAAUCGAUCGAAGACUUAAUCAA
RNAcentral lists this ribosomal RNA (2923 nucleotides) under Staphylococcus aureus. Its description in RNAcentral is "23S ribosomal RNA". It matches the Rfam family "Bacterial large subunit ribosomal RNA". Lineage: Bacteria; Bacillati; Bacillota; Bacilli; Caryophanales; Staphylococcaceae. The record is from RNAcentral.